This 411-nucleotide long non-coding RNA is filed under the name Brassica napus (rape). RNAcentral describes it as "long non-coding RNA (BNAP_LNC022104)". Lineage: Eukaryota; Viridiplantae; Streptophyta; Magnoliopsida; Brassicales; Brassicaceae. The record is from RNAcentral.
GGAAGAGAAUGAGGGGACUUUGGGCAAGCAUGGUAUGGACGGCCGUACAAGGCCGUACAUGGCCGUACCGUUCGUACCAGAUGCCUCGACCAGAAGUUACCUAACCUUGACCAAGUGAAACGGUAACAAGCAUAUGUUACCUUGAGGGCUUAGUGGAGAAGAUAAGACCGGUGAAAGGAUAAGGGAUGCGCGGUGCCAGGCUGGAAAGCUAAAGCACCUUUAGUCCAAGAUGCCAUAAGCGUGUGAUGCAUCCUAGUGGUUGAUUUGAAUCCAUGGCCUUGACUCCACACGGUUUAAUAGUGCCCAUUUCCUCUCUUGUAAACCCUUGUGUCCUUCUUAUAAAUAUGUAACCUCACUCAUUAAUAAAAAUCAAGCAAGUUAUGAGUCUUUCUUAGUCUUUACUCUCACAAU